CAACUCUCAACAACGGAUAUCUUGGCACGCGCACCGAUGAAGAACGCAGCGAAAUGCGAUACGUAGUGUGAAUUGCAGAAUUCCGUGAACCAUCGAAUCUUUGAACGCAUAUUGCGCUCGAGGCCUCGGCCAAGAGCAUGUCCGCCUCAGCGUC
RNAcentral lists this ribosomal RNA (154 nucleotides) under Hormotilopsis gelatinosa. RNAcentral's name for it is "5.8S ribosomal RNA". It matches the Rfam family "5.8S ribosomal RNA". From Rfam's summary of the family: 5.8S ribosomal RNA (5.8S rRNA) is a component of the large subunit of the eukaryotic ribosome. It is transcribed by RNA polymerase I as part of the 45S precursor that also contains 18S and 28S rRNA. Functionally, it is thought that 5.8S rRNA may be involved in ribosome translocation. Lineage: Eukaryota; Viridiplantae; Chlorophyta; Chlorophyceae; Chaetopeltidales; Chaetopeltidaceae. The record is from RNAcentral.